GUACGAGCGGGCCAUGAAGCUAGAGACUGACUACAAGCAGUACAUAUCAGCCGUCAUACCCGGCGUGAGCAUCAAGCACAUGUGCACUCAGAUCAAGGAUGCCGUCGACAAGGAGCAAGACAAGCUGCUCUGGGUGCCCGUCUCGAGUGGCUGAUGCCAGCACGGAUUUCACACAUAGUUUCCUAGAUUUAGUUUACGCUAAGUGCCCGAGCCUAGUAUUUUGCAAUGCGUAUCAAUAUUAUCAAGUUUGUAUUCGUUUCGUU
Long non-coding RNA from Drosophila persimilis, 263 nucleotides. RefSeq lists it as uncharacterized. The transcript is spliced from 2 exons. The record is from RefSeq and is a predicted model, not a curated record. NCBI's taxonomy places the organism in Eukaryota, Metazoa, Arthropoda, Insecta, Diptera, Drosophilidae.